CAGGAUACUCUCUUGGUGUGUACUGGGUGUUAACCUCCUUUUUUUCUGGUACUUGCUAUCCAGCAAUGGGUAGUUUUGUCCAGAUAGUUUACUUUGAAAAAUUAGAGUGUUCAAAGCAGGCAUAAUUGGCAUCAUGAAUACAUUAGCAUGGGAUAAUAGAAUAUGACAUUGGUCUUAUUUUGUUGGUUUCUAAGGCCAAAGUAAUGAUUGAUAGGGAUAGUUGGGGCCGCUCGUAUUGAGUUGUCAGAGGUGAAAUUCUAGGAUUUACUCAAGACGAACUAAUGCGAAAGCAUUCGGCAAAGGAUGUUUUCAUUAAUCAAGAACGAAAGUUGGGGGAUCGAAGAUGAUCAGAUACCGUCGUAGUCUCAACCAUAAACUAUGUCAACCGAGGAUCCGGUAGCGUUACAUGGAUGACUUCCGGGCACUCUGUGAG
This 433-nucleotide ribosomal RNA is filed under the name uncultured eukaryote. Its description in RNAcentral is "bacterial SSU rRNA". It matches the Rfam family "Eukaryotic small subunit ribosomal RNA", at positions 664 to 1094 of the family's 1831-position model. The record is from RNAcentral.